Molecule: ribosomal RNA, 259 nt
Filed under: uncultured bacterium
Lineage: Bacteria
Description: partial 16S ribosomal RNA
Rfam family: Bacterial small subunit ribosomal RNA
Source: RNAcentral
CGAGUCGCAAACUCGCGAGAGUAAGCUAAUCUCUUAAAGCCGUUCUCAGUUCGGACUGUAGGCUGCAACUCGCCUACACGAAGUCGGAAUCGCUAGUAAUCGCGGAUCAGCAUGCCGCGGUGAAUACGUUCCCGGGCCUUGUACACACCGCCCGUCACACCAUGGGAGUUUGUAACGCCCAAAGUCGGUGGCCUAACCUUUAUGGAGGGAGCCGCCUAAGGCGAGACAGAUGACUGGGGUGAAGUCGUAACAAGGUACC